CUCGUAGCUUGCUAUGAGAACAAUUAGUGGCAGACGGGUGAGUAAUGCAUAGGAAUCUACCUAGUAGUAUAGGAUAGCCACUAGAAGUGGUGGGUAAUACUGUAUAAUCCCUGCGGGGGAAAGAUUUAUCGCUACAUGAUGAGCCUAUGUUAGAUUAGCUAGUUGGUGGGGUAAUGGCCUACCAAGGCAGUGAUCUAUAGCUGGUCUGAGAGGAUGAUCAGCCACACUGGAACUGAGACACGGUCCAGACUCCUACGGGAGGCAGCAGUGGGGAAUAUUGGACAAUGGGCGCAAGCCUGAUCCAGCUAUGCCGCGCGAGUGAGGAAGGCCUUAGGGUUGUAAAACUCUUUCAGUGGGGAAGAUAAUGACGGUACCCACAGAAGAAGUCCCGGCAAACUCCGUGCCAGCAGCCGCGGUAAUACGGAGGGGGCAAGCGUUGUUCGGAAUUAUUGGGCGUAAAGGGCAUGUAGGUGGUUUGGUUAGUUAAAGGUGAAAUGCCAGGGCUUAACCCUGGAGCUGCUUUUAAUACUGCCAGACUGGAGUCCGGGAGA
RNAcentral lists this ribosomal RNA (551 nucleotides) under Anaplasma bovis. Its description in RNAcentral is "bacterial SSU rRNA". It matches the Rfam family "Bacterial small subunit ribosomal RNA", at positions 72 to 655 of the family's 1533-position model. The record is from RNAcentral. Lineage: Bacteria; Pseudomonadati; Pseudomonadota; Alphaproteobacteria; Rickettsiales; Anaplasmataceae.